This is a long non-coding RNA of Suricata suricatta (meerkat), 361 nucleotides long. RefSeq lists it as uncharacterized. The record is from RefSeq and is a predicted model, not a curated record. Lineage: Eukaryota; Metazoa; Chordata; Mammalia; Carnivora; Herpestidae. The transcript has 2 exons.
GCUCAGUGAACAUAGACUGGGCUCUGGAAUCAAGCCUCAGCCUGAAGCCCUGCUCUGCAUCCACAAACUGCGUGACUUUGGACAAACUGCCGCACCUCUCAGAUCCUCAGCUUCUCCAUAAGAAAAAAAUCCUACUUUGUGGGGUUGCCCAGAAGACAGACUAAAAUGAGACCUCACCUCCUAAAGGAUCACCGAGGGUCAGAAGCAUCGGAGCCAAGUACAGAUCCCAUUCCAUCUCCCUGUGGCCAGAUCCCACUCAUUUCAGGAAAGGGGGACCGCCUUAUGCGCUGGUACUCACUGUGGCGUCUUCAGAACAGGAGGCGAUCUCAAAAUCAUUAAAAGGAUUCCACUUGAUGUCUAA